This 633-nucleotide ribosomal RNA is filed under the name uncultured bacterium. Its description in RNAcentral is "bacterial SSU rRNA". It matches the Rfam family "Bacterial small subunit ribosomal RNA", at positions 864 to 1498 of the family's 1533-position model. The record is from RNAcentral.
GUACUCCGCCUGGGGAGUACGCACGCAAGUGUGAAACUCAAAGGAAUUGACGGGGACCCGCACAAGUAGCGGAGCAUGUGGUUUAAUUCGAAGCAACGCGAAGAACCUUACCUAAGCUUGACAUCCCUUAGACCGGUGUUUAAUCACACCUUCCCUUCGGGGCUGAGGUGACAGGUGGUGCAUGGUUGUCGUCAGCUCGUGUCGUGAGAUGUUGGGUUAAGUCCCGCAACGAGCGCAACCCUUGUCUUUAGUUGCCAGCAUUCAGUUGGGCACUCUAGAGAGACUGCCAGGGAUAACCUGGAGGAAGGUGGGGAUGACGUCAAAUCAUCAUGCCCCUUAUGCUUAGGGCUACACACGUGCUACAAUGGGUGGUACAGAGGGUUGCCAAACCGUGAGGUGGAGCUAAUCCCUUAAAGCCAUUCUCAGUUCGGAUUGUAGGCUGAAACUCGCCUACAUGAAGCUGGAGUUACUAGUAAUCGCAGAUCAGAAUGCUGCGGUGAAUGCGUUCCCGGGUCUUGUACACACCGCCCGUCACACCAUGGGAGUCGGAAACACCCGAAGCCGAUUAUCCAACCGCAAGGAGGAAGUCGUCGAAGGUGGCGUCGAUAACUGGGGUGAAGUCGUAACAAGGUA